This 450-nucleotide ribosomal RNA is filed under the name uncultured bacterium. RNAcentral describes it as "bacterial SSU rRNA". It matches the Rfam family "Bacterial small subunit ribosomal RNA", at positions 354 to 796 of the family's 1533-position model. The record is from RNAcentral.
GUGGGGAAUAUUGGACAAUGGGCGAAAGCCUGAUCCAGCCAUGCCGCGUGUGUGAAGAAGGUCUUCGGAUUGUAAAGCACUUUAAGUUGGGAGGAAGGGUAGUAACCUAAUACGUUGCUACUUUGACGUUACCGACAGAAUAAGCACCGGCUAACUUCGUGCCAGCAGCCGCGGUAAUACGAAGGGUGAAAGCGUUAAUCGGAAUUACUGGGAGUAAAGCGCGCGUAGGUGGUUCAGUAAGUUGGAAGUGAAAUCCCCGGGCUCAACCUGGGAACUGCUUUCAAAACUGCUGAGCUAGAGUACGGUAGAGGGUGGUGGAAUUUCCUGUGUAGCGGUGAAAUGCGUAGAUAUAGGAAGGAACACCAGUGGCGAAGGCGACCACCUGGACUGAUACUGACACUGAGGUGCGAAAGCGUGGGGAGCAAACAGGAUUAGAAACCCGGGUAGUCC